RNAcentral lists this long non-coding RNA (436 nucleotides) under Oryctolagus cuniculus (rabbit). Its description in RNAcentral is "lncRNA (ENSOCUG00000033006.1)". The record is from RNAcentral. Lineage: Eukaryota; Metazoa; Chordata; Mammalia; Lagomorpha; Leporidae.
GCAAAGAUCAAGCGGAAACAGGAGCUAAUAAAUGCUCUCUGGUGAGAGAGAGAGAGAGAGAGAGAGAGAGAAAGAGAGAGAGAGACAUGCAAAUGGACCAGUUUUUAAAAAAAAAGCAGUGUCCCCUUCAGAGAGAAGAUAACAUCCAACUUUUCUUGGAAAGCACCGCAUGUUUCAGACUGUGUUUCUUUUGGAUUUAUUCUGGAGACAACAACAUCAUUAAAUUUGAGCUGAGAACUUUGUCCAGGAAGGACAGCUGACAAGAAGCACUGGACCUGAUGGAUGGCUAAUCAUGAGCACUUAAAAGACGAAGGAUUGUGAAGGCAUCUCCAUUUCAGACUGGGGAAAGCACAGAAGUAUUCUACCUAGUAGAUCAUAGAUAAAAAUAGCUAGCGUCUGCUGGUGCCAGGUACUUUUCAUGAUUCUCUCAUCUCAU